This 1528-nucleotide ribosomal RNA is filed under the name Klebsiella pneumoniae. Its description in RNAcentral is "bacterial SSU rRNA". It matches the Rfam family "Bacterial small subunit ribosomal RNA". Lineage: Bacteria; Pseudomonadati; Pseudomonadota; Gammaproteobacteria; Enterobacterales; Enterobacteriaceae. RNAcentral also lists the same sequence under 1 other name. The record is from RNAcentral.
AGAGUUUGAUCAUGGCUCAGAUUGAACGCUGGCGGCAGGCCUAACACAUGCAAGUCGAGCGGUAGCACAGAGAGCUUGCUCUCGGGUGACGAGCGGCGGACGGGUGAGUAAUGUCUGGGAAACUGCCUGAUGGAGGGGGAUAACUACUGGAAACGGUAGCUAAUACCGCAUAACGUCGCAAGACCAAAGUGGGGGACCUUCGGGCCUCAUGCCAUCAGAUGUGCCCAGAUGGGAUUAGCUAGUAGGUGGGGUAAUGGCUCACCUAGGCGACGAUCCCUAGCUGGUCUGAGAGGAUGACCAGCCACACUGGAACUGAGACACGGUCCAGACUCCUACGGGAGGCAGCAGUGGGGAAUAUUGCACAAUGGGCGCAAGCCUGAUGCAGCCAUGCCGCGUGUGUGAAGAAGGCCUUCGGGUUGUAAAGCACUUUCAGCGGGGAGGAAGGCGUUAAGGUUAAUAACCUUGGCGAUUGACGUUACCCGCAGAAGAAGCACCGGCUAACUCCGUGCCAGCAGCCGCGGUAAUACGGAGGGUGCAAGCGUUAAUCGGAAUUACUGGGCGUAAAGCGCACGCAGGCGGUCUGUCAAGUCGGAUGUGAAAUCCCCGGGCUCAACCUGGGAACUGCAUUCGAAACUGGCAGGCUAGAGUCUUGUAGAGGGGGGUAGAAUUCCAGGUGUAGCGGUGAAAUGCGUAGAGAUCUGGAGGAAUACCGGUGGCGAAGGCGGCCCCCUGGACAAAGACUGACGCUCAGGUGCGAAAGCGUGGGGAGCAAACAGGAUUAGAUACCCUGGUAGUCCACGCCGUAAACGAUGUCGAUUUGGAGGUUGUGCCCUUGAGGCGUGGCUUCCGGAGCUAACGCGUUAAAUCGACCGCCUGGGGAGUACGGCCGCAAGGUUAAAACUCAAAUGAAUUGACGGGGGCCCGCACAAGCGGUGGAGCAUGUGGUUUAAUUCGAUGCAACGCGAAGAACCUUACCUGGUCUUGACAUCCACAGAACUUUCCAGAGAUGGAUUGGUGCCUUCGGGAACUGUGAGACAGGUGCUGCAUGGCUGUCGUCAGCUCGUGUUGUGAAAUGUUGGGUUAAGUCCCGCAACGAGCGCAACCCUUAUCCUUUGUUGCCAGCGGUUCGGCCGGGAACUCAAAGGAGACUGCCAGUGAUAAACUGGAGGAAGGUGGGGAUGACGUCAAGUCAUCAUGGCCCUUACGACCAGGGCUACACACGUGCUACAAUGGCAUAUACAAAGAGAAGCGACCUCGCGAGAGCAAGCGGACCUCAUAAAGUAUGUCGUAGUCCGGAUUGGAGUCUGCAACUCGACUCCAUGAAGUCGGAAUCGCUAGUAAUCGUAGAUCAGAAUGCUACGGUGAAUACGUUCCCGGGCCUUGUACACACCGCCCGUCACACCAUGGGAGUGGGUUGCAAAAGAAGUAGGUAGCUUAACCUUCGGGAGGGCGCUUACCACUUUGUGAUUCAUGACUGGGGUGAAGUCGUAACAAGGUAACCGUAGGGGAACCUGCGGUUGGAUCACCU